UCACAGCAUCAGCUACAUUUAGCAAACACAAAGGGCAUUGAAAGGCACUAGUUACAUUGUUCCCGCUCUCUUCUUCUUCCCAAAUGCCCGAAUCAGGAGCACAACAAAACCCACUUCUUCCGGGGUCCCCGACAGAAAGCCCGCCAAACCCAAGCAAAUGGAAAUUUUUGUGCAGCAGCAAGAAUAAGAAGAAGAAGAAAGGAAAGGACUUUUUCAUGCAAGGAUUCGUGUGUGCCCCGUUGUGCUGCUGCCUCUGUCUGGUGGCGUCAAGAAAAAUAGAACAGUGUAAAGAAAGGAAUAAGAAAGGAAGAGGAAAAACCGUAAAAUAGAAAGGAAAGGAUUCAGUUCCUGCAAGCACAGACAUCUCGAAAAUCUGUCCAAAGCACUCGUUCUACAGGUACCAGCAAGUAGGAUAAGAAGAUUUCGACGGGCAAAUAUUUUCAGUUUCACUUGAGGUAAUUUGAGAUUAUUGGGAAUGAAAUGUACUUUUCGACUCUAGCUUUGUCAUUCAUUGGACAAAUGCAGUACAGUUUAAUCUUUUGAGUUUUAUGCUUAGCUGAUGAGAUGAAUGUCCUUUUCGGUACACUAAAUAGUCCAGUCCUUUUAAUCAGCUUGCAUUUUAAAAUCACGUA
Molecule: long non-coding RNA, 632 nt
Organism: Eucalyptus grandis
Lineage: Eukaryota; Viridiplantae; Streptophyta; Magnoliopsida; Myrtales; Myrtaceae
Exons: 5
Source: RefSeq, a predicted model, not a curated record